RNAcentral lists this long non-coding RNA (300 nucleotides) under Nicotiana benthamiana. Its description in RNAcentral is "long non-coding RNA (NBEN_LNC023063)". The record is from RNAcentral. Lineage: Eukaryota; Viridiplantae; Streptophyta; Magnoliopsida; Solanales; Solanaceae.
CCCCCUUUUGAUCUCCAGCCAAUGUUUGGUAAUUUGAAUCCCAAACUUUCAUUAGACGACUGAUUCUUAUUAAGAACGGUUGUUUAACGUUAGUUAAAGUCAUGUCACCUUGUGGAAAUUGGUCAAAUCUUCGUUGGUUGGUCCGAAUUGAACAUAGGUAAUUUCUUUCAUUUUUUUAAAAUUGUAUCUUAUCUUUUAUUUUCUUCUAUCUUUUCUUUGAUUCCUCUUCAUGAUUUUUGUUUUUCAUUUUAGCCGCAUGUUUUAGGAUUCUUCUCUUCUUUUGUUCAAAUUUGCUUUGUG